This 1346-nucleotide ribosomal RNA is filed under the name uncultured bacterium. RNAcentral describes it as "bacterial SSU rRNA". It matches the Rfam family "Bacterial small subunit ribosomal RNA", at positions 28 to 1381 of the family's 1533-position model. The record is from RNAcentral.
GACGAACGCUGGCGGCGUGCUUAACACAUGCAAGUCGAACGGAAAGGCCCUGCUUUUGUGGGGUGCUCGAGUGGCGAACGGGUGAGUAACACGUGAGUAACCUGCCCUUGACUUUGGGAUAACUUCAGGAAACUGGGGCUAAUACCGGAUAGGAGCUCCUGCUGCAUGGUGGGGGUUGGAAAGUUUCGGCGGUUGGGGAUGGACUCGCGGCUUAUCAGCUUGUUGGUGGGGUAGUGGCUUACCAAGGCUUUGACGGGUAGCCGGCCUGAGAGGGUGACCGGCCACAUUGGGACUGAGAUACGGCCCAGACUCCUACGGGAGGCAGCAGUGGGGAAUAUUGCACAAUGGGCGGAAGCCUGAUGCAGCAACGCCGCGUGCGGGAUGACGGCCUUCGGGUUGUAAACCGCUUUCGCCUGUGACGAAGCGUGAGUGACGGUAAUGGGUAAAGAAGCACCGGCUAACUACGUGCCAGCAGCCGCGGUGAUACGUAGGGUGCGAGCGUUGUCCGGAUUUAUUGGGCGUAAAGGGCUCGUAGGUGGUUGAUCGCGUCGGAAGUGUAAUCUUGGGGCUUAACCCUGAGCGUGCUUUCGAUACGGGUUGACUUGAGGAAGGUAGGGGAGAAUGGAAUUCCUGGUGGAGCGGUGGAAUGCGCAGAUAUCAGGAGGAACACCAGUGGCGAAGGCGGUUCUCUGGGCCUUUCCUGACGCUGAGGAGCGAAAGCGUGGGGAGCGAACAGGCUUAGAUACCCUGGUAGUCCGCGCUGUAAACGGUGGGUACUAGGUGUGGGGUCCAUUCCACGGGUUCCGUGCCGUAGCUAACGCUUUAAGUACCCCGCCUGGGGAGUACGGCCGCAAGGCUAAAACUCAAAGGAAUUGACGGGGCCCCGCACAAGCGGCGGAGCAUGCGGAUUAAUUCGAUGCAACGCGUAGAACCUUACCUGGGUUUGACAUGGAUCGGGAGUGCCCAGAGAUGGGUGUGCCUCUUUUGGGGUCGGUUCACAGGUGGUGCAUGGCUGUCGUCAGCUCGUGUCGUGAGAUGUUGGGUUAAGUCCCGCAACGAGCGCAACCCUUGUUCACUGUUGCCAGCACGUUAUGGUGGGGACUCAGUGGAGACCGCCGGGGUCAACUCGGAGGAAGGUGGGGAUGACGUCAAGUCAUCAUGCCCCUUAUGUCCAGGGCUUCACGCAUGCUACAAUGGCUGGUACAGAGAGUGGCGAGCCUGUGAGGGUGAGCGAAUCUCGGAAAGCCGGUCUCAGUUCGGAUUGGGGUCUGCAACUCGACCUCAUGAAGUCGGAGUCGCUAGUAAUCGCAGAUCAGCAACGCUGCGGUGAAUACGUUCCCGGGGCU